GGGCGUGUAGCUCAGUUGGUAGGGCGUUCGCUUAGCAUACCUACUUUCGUGUAUGCGAAAGGUCCUGGGUUUGAUUCCCAGCUCGUCCA
This is a non-coding RNA of Bombardia bombarda, 89 nucleotides long. The record is from the annotation of a GenBank genome assembly. NCBI's taxonomy places the organism in Eukaryota, Fungi, Ascomycota, Sordariomycetes, Sordariales, Lasiosphaeriaceae.